RNAcentral lists this ribosomal RNA (257 nucleotides) under uncultured prokaryote. Its description in RNAcentral is "partial 16S ribosomal RNA". It matches the Rfam family "Bacterial small subunit ribosomal RNA", at positions 521 to 777 of the family's 1533-position model. The record is from RNAcentral.
UAAUACGGGGGGGGCAAGCGUUGUUCGGAAUUACUGGGCGUAAAGGGCUCGUAGGCGGCCAAUUAAGUCAGACGUGAAAUCCCCAGGCUCAACUUGGGAACUGCGUCUGAUACUGGUUGGCUUGAAUUCGGGAGAGGGAUGCAGAAUUCCAGGUGUAGCGGUGAAAUGCGUAGAUAUCUGGAGGAAUACCGGUGGCGAAGGCGGCAUCCUGGACCGAGAUUGACACUGAUGAGCGAAAGCUAGGGGAGCAAACGGGA